RNAcentral lists this ribosomal RNA (492 nucleotides) under uncultured bacterium. RNAcentral's name for it is "partial 16S ribosomal RNA". It matches the Rfam family "Bacterial small subunit ribosomal RNA", at positions 29 to 507 of the family's 1533-position model. The record is from RNAcentral.
AGUGAACGCUGGCGGUAGGCCUAACACAUGCAAGUCGAACGGCAGCACAGUAAGAGCUUGCUCUUACGGGUGGCGAGUGGCGGACGGGUGAGGAAUACAUCGGAAUCUACUUUUUCGUGGGGGAUAACGUAGGGAAACUUACGCUAAUACCGCAUACGACCUACGGGUGAAAGCAGGGGAUCUUCGGACCUUGCGCGAUUGAAUGAGCCGAUGUCGGAUUAGCUAGUUGGCGGGGUAAAGGCCCACCAAGGCGACGAUCCGUAGCUGGUCUGAGAGGAUGAUCAGCCACACUGGAACUGAGACACGGUCCAGACUCCUACGAGAGGCAGCAGUGGGGAAUAUUGGACAAUGGGCGAAAGCCUGAUCCAGCCAUACCGCGUGGGUGAAGAAGGCCUUCGGGUUGUAAAGCCCUUUUGUUGGGAAAGAAAAGCAGCAGGUUAAUACCCCGCUGUUCUGACGGUACCCAAAGAAUAAGCACCGGCUAACUUCGUG